This 250-nucleotide unclassified non-coding RNA is filed under the name plant metagenome. RNAcentral describes it as "partial contains small subunit ribosomal RNA, internal transcribed spacer 1, and 5.8S ribosomal RNA". The record is from RNAcentral.
GUAGGUGAACCUGCGGAAGGAUCAUUAAAAAUUAUCAGUAUAGAUCUGGCGACCUCCCUGCGCAAGUACGCGAGAGGGGGGGGAGGUGAGGUAAGACAAGAUUGUGGGCGAGAAAUUAAGAGAUGUAGGGAGGAACCCCUAAGCAGGGAAUCCUCCUCGCUCUUUUUGAGCCUCAAGGUGAAAAAAGACAGGGAGGAUCCCCUAAGCAGGGAACCUCCCUAACUUUCGAAGCUUUAUCCCACUCUUAUUC